AAGAAAAGCGGUGUGGACUCUGAAGUCUGUAGGAGGAGGAGGAGGACCCCAUCCUUAAAACAAAGACAAACUCCCCCACUUCAUCAUGAUAUUCCUCCUCCACCACACCAUUGCCCAUCCAUCUCCUAGCUAGCUCCUGCAUCUCCUCUCUUUUUUUUCUCCAUUCUGUGUUAAUCUUUCCUCCUUUUUGUGUGUGCGUGGGUGUGCGUGUGUGAGAUGAAAGAAAGCUACUGGAGCAGCUGCUGGCAUCAUUCGAACGUCGUCACAGGUGUACAACAACCUGAAUCGAAGCUCGCUGCCGUAGUUAAUCGAAGCUGAAUCCACUAAAUAAGCAUGCAUAAAUAAAUAUAAGAAAAACCAAGACAAAGCAUAGUACAGUAAGUACACAGAUGGAUGGAUCUUGGCAAGUUCCUUGAAUGCUAGUGCUAGUAAGUAUUCUCAGAAAUUAAAGCUUUUUGUACUACCUUGAAGGAUUUGCUGCCGGAUUUGGAGAGG
This 495-nucleotide long non-coding RNA is filed under the name Brachypodium distachyon (stiff brome). RNAcentral describes it as "long non-coding RNA (BDIS_LNC004037)". The record is from RNAcentral. Lineage: Eukaryota; Viridiplantae; Streptophyta; Magnoliopsida; Poales; Poaceae.